Molecule: ribosomal RNA, 749 nt
Filed under: uncultured bacterium
Lineage: Bacteria
Description: bacterial SSU rRNA
Rfam family: Bacterial small subunit ribosomal RNA
Source: RNAcentral
CCUUAACUGACGCUGAGGCACGAAAGCAUGGGUAGCAAACAGGAUUAGAUACCCUGGUAGUCCAUGCUGUAAACGAUGAUUGCUAGGUGUGGGUGGACUGACCCCAUCCGUGCCGGAGUCAACACAAUAAGCAAUCCACCUGGGGAGUACGGCCGCAAGGUUAAAACUCAAAGGAAUUGACGGGGGCCCGCACAAGCAGUGGAGUAUGUGGUUUAAUUCGACGCAACGCGAAGAACCUUACCAAGGCUUGACAUGCAGAUGAAUACCUAAGAAAUUAGGUAGGCCUUCGGGACAUCUGUGCAGGUGAUGCAUGGUUGUCGUCAGCUCGUGUCGUGAGAUGUUAGGUUAAGUCCUGCAACGAGCGCAACCCACGUGUUUAGUUGCCACGGAAAGUGGAACUCUAAACAGACUGCCGUAGUCAAUACGGAGGAAGGUGUGGAUGACGUCAAAUCAUCACGUCCCUUACGUCUUGGGCCACACACGUACUACAAUGGCUAUCACAGAAAGAUGCGAACUCGUAAGAGUAAGCGAAACUAAUAAAAGUAGUCGUAGUUCGGAUUGAAGGCUGAAACUCGCCUUCAUGAAGCUGGAAUUGCUAGUAAUCACAGGUCAGCAUACUGUGGUGAAUACGUUCCCGGGCCUUGUACACACCGCCCGUCACACCAUGAGAGUUGGAAAUACUUGAAGUCCAUGAAUAAUGGCCGAAGGUAGGUCUAAUGAUUGGGGUGAAGUCGUAACAAGGUAACCAA